RNAcentral lists this ribosomal RNA (253 nucleotides) under uncultured bacterium. Its description in RNAcentral is "partial 16S ribosomal RNA". It matches the Rfam family "Bacterial small subunit ribosomal RNA", at positions 524 to 776 of the family's 1533-position model. The record is from RNAcentral.
UACGGGGGGGGCAAGCGUUGUUCGGAAUUACUGGGCGUAAAGGGCGCGUAGGCGGUUGGAUAAGUUGGUGGUGAAAACCUCGAGCUUAACUCGGGGCCUGCCAUCAAUACUGCCCGGCUGGAGUGUGGGAGAGGAGAGUGGAAUUCCCGGUGUAGCGGUGAAAUGCGUAGAUAUCUGCAGGAACACCCGUGGCGAAAGCGGCGCGCUGGACCACAACUGACGCUGAGGAACGAAAGCUAGGGGAGCAAACAGG